This is a long non-coding RNA of Sardina pilchardus (European sardine), 743 nucleotides long. RefSeq lists it as uncharacterized. The record is from RefSeq and is a predicted model, not a curated record. The transcript is spliced from 2 exons. NCBI's taxonomy places the organism in Eukaryota, Metazoa, Chordata, Actinopteri, Clupeiformes, Clupeidae.
AGAGAGAGAGAGUGUGUGUGUGGGUGAGUUUGUGCAUGUGUAUGCAGGUGCAUGUGUGCAUGACCAGCUUCCUUAGAUGGUGACGCCAGCAUGUCCACCUGGUGGCCCAACCAGCUGCACCAGCAAAGACCAGCAAGAGCGGGAAGAAAUCCAACAAUGACCAGCAGAGACCAGCUAAAACAGCUACCAGCACACAACAUACGGUGCUUAUCGAGCAGGUCCAGAGCAUCACCACUAGCUGACUAAGCGGUUUGAACACCCCGAACACUGCGUGGGCAAAGAUGACUCCAACUGUGGAUUGUGGAACGGAGCAGAAAACGCCACAUCACUUGACUGCAGCACCUAUAAUAUUAAUGUCUAUUAACAUUCUAUUAUUUAAUUACAUUGCAGUGCCUGUUAUCAACAUAUACCGUAGUACUUCACUGCUACAAUGCAUUCAAUGCACAUUAAACAUGUAGGUUUAUAUAAACACAGUAAACAUGUUGGUUUAUUUGGAUGUUGAUGGUAAACACAGUAAACAUGUUGGUUUAUUAGGAUGUUGAUGUUGAAGGUAAACACAGUAAACAUGUUAGUUUAUAUAAACACAGUAAACAUGUUGGUUUAUUGGGAUUUUAAUGUGGAUGCUAAACAAAGUAAACUUGUUGGUUUACAUAAACACAGUAAACAUGUUGGUUUAUAAGGAUGUUGAUGCGGAUGGCAAAGUAAACAAACGCUUGCACUUUCUGUGCAUCUGCAGAAAUGGA